GACGAACGCUGGCGGCGUGCUUAACACAUGCAAGUCGAACGGAAAGGCCCUGCUUUUGUGGGGUGCUCGAGUGGCGAACGGGUGAGUAACACGUGAGUAACCUGCCCUUGACUUUGGGAUAACUUCAGGAAACUGGGGCUAAUACCGGAUAGGAGCUCCUGCUGCAUGGUGGGGGUUGGAAAGUUUCGGCGGUUGGGGAUGGACUCGCGGCUUAUCAGCUUGUUGGUGGGGUAGUGGCUUACCAAGGCUUUGACGGGUAGCCGGCCUGAGAGGGUGACCGGCCACAUUGGGACUGAGAUACGGCCCAGACUCGUACGGGAGGCAGCAGUGGGGAAUAUUGCACAACGGGCGGAAGCCUGAUGCAGCGACGCCGCGUGCGGGAUGACGGGCUUCGGGUUGUAAACCGCUUUCGCCUGUGACGAAGCGUGAGUGACGGUAAUGGGUAAAGAAGCACCGGCUAACUACGUG
RNAcentral lists this ribosomal RNA (468 nucleotides) under uncultured bacterium. RNAcentral describes it as "partial 16S ribosomal RNA". It matches the Rfam family "Bacterial small subunit ribosomal RNA", at positions 28 to 507 of the family's 1533-position model. The record is from RNAcentral.